RNAcentral lists this ribosomal RNA (446 nucleotides) under uncultured bacterium. RNAcentral describes it as "partial 16S ribosomal RNA". It matches the Rfam family "Bacterial small subunit ribosomal RNA", at positions 338 to 795 of the family's 1533-position model. The record is from RNAcentral.
CCUACGGGAGGCAGCAGUAGGGAAUUUUCGGCAAUGGGGGAAACCCUGACCGAGCAACGCCGCGUGAACGAAGAAGUUCUUCGUAUUGUAAAGUUCUUUUAACAGGGAAGAAAGAGAAUUUUGACGGUACCUGACGAAUAGGAUCCGUCUAACUACAUACCCGCAGCCACGGUAAUACGUAGGGAGCGAGCGUUAUCCGGAAUUAUUGGGCGUAAAGGGUGCGUUGAUGGCAUAGUAAGUCUUUUGUAAAAAUGCUGGGCUAAACCAAGUAGGGCAAAAGAUACUGCAAAGCUAGAGUAUGACAGAGGAAAGUGGAACUACAUGUGUAGCGGUAAAAUGCGUAAAUAUAUGUAAGAACACCAGUGGCGAAGGCGGCUUGCUGGGUCGAUACUGACAUUGAGGCACGAAAGCGUGGGGAGCAAACAGGAUUAGAUACCCUUGUAGUC